GCAGUCGAACGGGAUCCAUCAAGCUUGCUUGGUGGUGAGAGUGGCGAACGGGUGAGUAAUGCGUGACUAACCUGCCUUGUACUUUGGAAUAGCUCCUGGAAACGGGUGGUAAUGCCGAAUGUUCCACGUUAUCGCAUGAUGGUGUGGGAAAGGGUUUACUGGUAUGAGAUGGGGUCGCGUCCUAUCAGCUUGUUGGUGGGGUGAUGGCCUACCAAGGCUUCGACGGGUAGCCGGCCUGAGAGGGUGACCGGCCACAUUGGGACUGAGAUACGGCCCAGACUCCUACGGGAGGCAGCAGUGGGGAAUAUUGCACAAUGGGCGAAAGCCUGAUGCAGCGACGCCGCGUGCGGGAUGACGGCCUUCGGGUUGUAAACCGCUUUUAGCAAGGAGCAAGCGAGAGUGAGUGUACUUGUUGAAUAAGCGCCGGCUAACUACGUGCCAGCAGCCGCGGUAAUACGUAGGGCGCAAGCGUUAUCCGGAAUUAUUGGGCGUAAAGAGCUCGUAGGCGGUUUGUCGCGUCUGGUGUGAAAGUCCACUGCUUAACGGUGGAUUGGCGCCGGGUACGGGCAGGCUAGAG
RNAcentral lists this ribosomal RNA (577 nucleotides) under uncultured Bifidobacterium sp. RNAcentral's name for it is "bacterial SSU rRNA". It matches the Rfam family "Bacterial small subunit ribosomal RNA", at positions 57 to 646 of the family's 1533-position model. Lineage: Bacteria; Bacillati; Actinomycetota; Actinomycetes; Bifidobacteriales; Bifidobacteriaceae. The record is from RNAcentral.